RNAcentral lists this ribosomal RNA (422 nucleotides) under uncultured soil bacterium. RNAcentral's name for it is "bacterial SSU rRNA". It matches the Rfam family "Bacterial small subunit ribosomal RNA", at positions 26 to 432 of the family's 1533-position model. The record is from RNAcentral.
AGGACGAACGCUGGCGGCGUGCUUAACACAUGCAAGUCGAACGGUAAGGCCCCUUCGGGGGUACACGAGUGGCGAACGGGUGAGUAACACGUGGGUAAUCUGCCCUGCACUUCGGGAUAAGCCUGGGAAACUGGGUCUAAUACCGGAUAUGAACUCCUGCCGCAUGGUGGGGGUUGGAAAGUUUUUCGGUGCAGGAUGAGCCCGCGGCCUAUCAGCUUGUUGGUGGGGUAAUGGCCUACCAAGGCGACGACGGGUAGCCGGCCUGAGAGGGUGAUCGGCCACGACUGGGACUGAGACACGGCCCAGACUCCGUACGGGAGCAGCAGUGGGAAUAUUGACACAAGUGGGACGAAAGGCCUAGGAACUGGACCAGGCGACCGCCGGCGGUGGGGGAUCGGACGGUCGUUCGGAUUCGUAAACCC